AGCAGCCGCCGCGGUAACACGAAGGGGGCUAGCGUUGCUCGGAAUCACUGGGCGUAAAGGGUGCGUAGGCGGGUCUUUAAGUCAGGGGUGAAAUCCUGGAGCUCAACUCCAGAACUGCCUUUGAUACUGAAGAUCUUGAGUUCGGGAGAGGUGAGUGGAACUGCGAGUGUAGAGGUGAAAUUCGUAGAUAUUCGCAAGAACACCAGUGGCGAAGGCGGCUCACUGGCCCGAUACUGACGCUGAGGCACGAAAGCGUGGGGAGCAAACAGGAUUAGAUACCCCCGUAGUCCCUGUCUCUUAUAU
Molecule: ribosomal RNA, 303 nt
Filed under: uncultured bacterium
Lineage: Bacteria
Description: partial 16S ribosomal RNA
Rfam family: Bacterial small subunit ribosomal RNA
Source: RNAcentral